Solanum tuberosum (potato) is the source of this 359-nucleotide long non-coding RNA. RefSeq lists it as uncharacterized. The record is from RefSeq and is a predicted model, not a curated record. Lineage: Eukaryota; Viridiplantae; Streptophyta; Magnoliopsida; Solanales; Solanaceae. The transcript is spliced from 2 exons.
ACUGAAUUUGCAAACUUCUUGGUCGAAAUUAAAUCCGGGAAGAAGAUUUUGGUCUUGCCCAUGCUAUGGUUCUAAAAAUUGCAAAUUUUUUCGAUGGAGGGACAAAGAAGAAGUGGAUCCAAGAUCAAGUUUUAUCCUUCCAAGAUUGGUGAACAAAAUCAAUGAGUUGGAGCAAGAAUUAUGUAUUAGACAGGUUCAUAUUGACAACUUGAUGAACUCUAAUUUGUUAUUGGAGAGGAGACUCAAUAGAAGGUGGAAAUGGUGUAGGUUCAAUAGGAAGAUACUUUUGUGUAUUUUGAUUUGUGUUGUUGCUAUGUUCAUCAGCAACCAGUAGUUCAAGUGCUGCAUAUUUGGAUUUC